This 458-nucleotide ribosomal RNA is filed under the name uncultured bacterium. RNAcentral describes it as "partial 16S ribosomal RNA". It matches the Rfam family "Bacterial small subunit ribosomal RNA", at positions 338 to 795 of the family's 1533-position model. The record is from RNAcentral.
CCUACGGGAGGCAGCAGUGAGGAAUAUUGGUCAAUGGGCGAGAGCCUGAACCAGCCAAGUCGCGUGAGGGAGUACUGCCCUAUGGGUUGUAAACCUCUUUUGUCGGGGAGCAAAAGCUGGACGUGUCCGGCUGUGAGAGUACCCGAAGAAAAAGCAUCGGCUAACUCCGUGCCAGCAGCCGCGGUAAUACGGAGGAUGCGAGCGUUAUCCGGAUUUAUUGGGUUUAAGGGGUGCGCAGGCGGAUUUUUAAGUCAGCGGUAAAAUCGUGGGGCUCAACCCCAUCCAGCCGUUGAAACUGGGGAUCUAGAGUGUGCGAGAGGUAUGCGGAAUGCGUGGUGUAGCGGUGAAAUGCAUAGAUAUCACGCAGAACCCCGAUUGCGAAGGCAGCAUACCGGUGCACAACUGACGCUCAGGCACGAAAGCGUGGGUAUCGAACAGGAUUAGAUACCCUUGUAGUC